RNAcentral lists this ribosomal RNA (515 nucleotides) under uncultured bacterium. RNAcentral's name for it is "bacterial SSU rRNA". It matches the Rfam family "Bacterial small subunit ribosomal RNA", at positions 8 to 518 of the family's 1533-position model. The record is from RNAcentral.
AGAGUUUGAUCCUGGCUCAGGAUGAACGCUAGCGGCAGGCUUAACACAUGCAAGUCGAGGGGCAACGCGAGUAGCAAUACUUGGCGGCGACCGGCGCAAGGGUGCGUAACGCGUGAGCAACAUGCCCGUAUCAGGGGGAUAAUCCAGGGAAACUUGGUCUAAUACCCCAUAGUAAUUUUGUAAGGCAUCUUAUAAGAUUUAAAGCUUUGGUGGAUACGGAUUGGCUCGCGUGACAUUAGCUGGAUGGUAAGGUAACGGCUUACCAUGGCUAUGAUGUCUAGGGGUUCUGAGAGGAAGGUCCCCCACACUGGAACUGAGACACGGUCCAGACUCCUACGGGAGGCAGCAGUGAGGAAUAUUGGACAAUGGAUGGAAAUCUGAUCCAGCCAUGCCGCGUGAAGGAAGAAGGUCCUAUGGAUUGUAAACUUCUUUUGUAUGGGAGCAAUAAGGCCUACGAGUAGGUUGAUGAGAGUACCAUACGAAUAAGCACCGGCUAACUCCGUGCCAGCCGCCGC